CCUGUCUCCUAGCUGGGUGAGGAGUUUCAGGACCAACUUGGAGCAGGCCUAGGACCAGAAAUCACUGAAGCAGACUAUUUUCAAGGGUAUUUGCCAAGGAGCUGAUUGUUGGGGAAAUGAGUAUUAAGGAGCCUUGGGAAGGGCUAAAGAACCAAUCCAUCGGAUCUGAGGAACCUCCCCACAGGCUGGGCGCCCGAGUACCAGCUUCGACAUUCUCUUCACUUUACUCAUUCUAAGUUUUGUUGUCUCCCACAUUUUCCACCUCCAAGGAGGCCCCCAACUUUUGCAAAUAUUCCAGUGUUGAAAAUACACAUCCAAAAGAGGAAGCUUCCUGACAGUGUUCUGUCAAGGAGCAAAGGGCCCUCCCCGGAAAGCUGCUGCCUCCUCUCUCCUCGCUUCCACACACCCUCCUCCAGCCUUCAGCGCCGAGCAUCUCCACUGCUACCCAGGAAAGCCCGUGCCUUUUCACCCGGAACACUGCCCGACACCUCCUCUGCCCACCCACCUCUCAGGAGCUGGGAACGUCACCAAAAGCAUCAAUUUGGUGUCAGGAGUUUCGGAAUCCGGAUCCAAGCACCCAGAAAAGCGGCUGCUCUUCGGCCAGACCAGGCACAUGUGGACUCUCCUUUCACUAAGUUCCCCACCACUUUGCUCGGCAAGACACGAUUCCUGCCGCUGGAAACCAGCACCUUCUACCUGCCGGAGAAGAAAAGCUUUGGGUUCCAUCAUAAUUAAUUAAGAUUCGAUCAGAACAGAAGACAUC
This is a long non-coding RNA of Mesocricetus auratus (golden hamster), 763 nucleotides long. RefSeq lists it as uncharacterized. Lineage: Eukaryota; Metazoa; Chordata; Mammalia; Rodentia; Cricetidae. The record is from RefSeq and is a predicted model, not a curated record. The transcript has 3 exons.